AGUGGACGCUGGCGGUAGGCCUAACACAUGCAAGUCGAACGGCAGCACAGUAAGAGCUUGCUCUUACGGGUGGCGAGUGGCGGACGGGUGAGGAAUACAUCGGAAUCUACUUUUUCGUGGGGGAUAACGUAGGGAAACUUACGCUAAUACCGCAUACGACCUACGGGUGAAAGCAGGGGAUCUUCGGACCUUGCGCGAUUGAAUGAGUCGAUGUCGGAUUAGCUAGUUGGCGGGGUAAAGGCCCACCAAGGCGACGAUCCGUAGCUGGUCUGAGAGGAUGAUCAGCCACACUGGAACUGAGACACGGUCCAGACUCCUACGGGAGGCAGCAGUGGGGAAUAUUGGACAAUGGGCGCAAGCCUGAUCCAGCCAUACCGCGUGGGUGAAGAAGGCCUUCGGGUUGUAAAGCCCUUUUGUUGGGAAAGAAAAGCAGCAGGUUAAUACCCCGCUGUUCUGACGGUACCCAAAGAAUAAGCACCGGCUAACUUCGUG
This 492-nucleotide ribosomal RNA is filed under the name uncultured bacterium. RNAcentral describes it as "partial 16S ribosomal RNA". It matches the Rfam family "Bacterial small subunit ribosomal RNA", at positions 29 to 507 of the family's 1533-position model. The record is from RNAcentral.